This 495-nucleotide ribosomal RNA is filed under the name uncultured bacterium. RNAcentral describes it as "partial 16S ribosomal RNA". It matches the Rfam family "Bacterial small subunit ribosomal RNA", at positions 28 to 507 of the family's 1533-position model. The record is from RNAcentral.
GACGAACGCUGGCGGCGUGCCUAAUACAUGCAAGUAGAACGCUGAAGGAGGAGCUUGCUUCUCUGGAUGAGUUGCGAACGGGUGAGUAACGCGUAGGUAACCUGCCUGGUGGCGGGGGAUAACUAUUGGAAACGAUAGCUAAUACCGCAUAAUAGUAGAUGUUGCAUGACAUUUGCUUAAAAGGUGCAAUUGCAUCACUACCAGAUGGACCUGCGUUGUAUUAGCUAGUUGGUGGGGUAACGGCUCACCAAGGCGACGAUACAUAGCCGACCUGAGAGGGUGAUCGGCCACACUGGGACUGAGACACGGCCCAGACUCCUACGGGAGGCAGCAGUGGGGAAUAUUGCACAAUAGGCGGAAGCCUGAUGCAGCAACGCCGCGUGAGUGAAGAAGGUUUUCGGAUCGUAAAGCUCUGUUGUAAGAGAAGAACGAGUGUGAGAGUGGAAAGUUCACACUGUGACGGUAUCUUACCAGAAAGGGACGGCUAACUACGUG